Molecule: non-coding RNA, 23 nt
Filed under: Arabidopsis thaliana (thale cress)
Lineage: Eukaryota; Viridiplantae; Streptophyta; Magnoliopsida; Brassicales; Brassicaceae
Source: RNAcentral
UGGUGUUAAAGUCCAUUGAGAUG